This 326-nucleotide ribosomal RNA is filed under the name Staphylococcus aureus. RNAcentral describes it as "bacterial SSU rRNA". It matches the Rfam family "Bacterial small subunit ribosomal RNA", at positions 230 to 548 of the family's 1533-position model. Lineage: Bacteria; Bacillati; Bacillota; Bacilli; Caryophanales; Staphylococcaceae. The record is from RNAcentral.
UCCGCGCUGCAUUAGCUAGUUGGUAAGGUAACGGCUUACCAAGGCAACGAUGCAUAGCCGACCUGAGAGGGUGAUCGGCCACACUGGAACUGAGACACGGUCCAGACUCCUACGGGAGGCAGCAGUAGGGAAUCUUCCGCAAUGGGCGAAAGCCUGACGGAGCAACGCCGCGUGAGUGAUGAAGGUCUUCGGAUCGUAAAACUCUGUUAUUAGGGAAGAACAUAUGUGUAAGUAACUGUGCACAUCUUGACGGUACCUAAUCAGAAAGCCACGGCUAACUACGUGCCAGCAGCCGCGGUAAUACGUAGGUGGCAAGCGUUAUCCGG